GUGCUCGCUUCGGCAGCACAUAUACUAAAAAAUUAGAAUGAUACAGAGAAGAUUAGCAUGGCCCCUGCUCAAGGAUGACAUGCAAAUUCGUGAAGCUUUAAAAAAUAAA
Nyctereutes procyonoides (raccoon dog) is the source of this 109-nucleotide small nuclear RNA. The record is from RefSeq and is a predicted model, not a curated record. NCBI's taxonomy places the organism in Eukaryota, Metazoa, Chordata, Mammalia, Carnivora, Canidae.